GAUGAACGCUGGCGGCGUGCCUAAUACAUGCAAGUCGAGCGAACAGAUGAGGAGCUUGCUCCUCUGACGUUAGCGGCGGACGGGUGUGUAACACGUGGAUAACCUACCUAUAAGACUGGGAUAACUUCGGGAAACCGGAGCUAAUACCGGAUAAUAUAUUGAACCGCAUGGUUCAAUAGUGAAAGACGGUUUUGCUGUCACUUCUAGAUGGAUCCGCGCCGCAUUAGCUAGUUGGUAAGGUCACGGCUUACCAAGGCAACGAUGCGUAGCCGACCUGAGAGAGGGAUCGGCCACACUGGAACUGAGACACGGUCCAGACUCCUACGGGAGGCAGCAGUAGGGAAUCUGCCGCAAUGGGCGAAAGCCUGACGGAGCAACGCCGCGUGAGUGAUGAAGGUCUUCGGAGCGUAAAACUCUGUUAUUGGGGAAGAACAAAUGUGUAAGUAACUAUGCACGUCUUGACGGUACCUAAUCAGAAAGCCACGGCUAACUACGUG
RNAcentral lists this ribosomal RNA (497 nucleotides) under uncultured bacterium. RNAcentral describes it as "partial 16S ribosomal RNA". It matches the Rfam family "Bacterial small subunit ribosomal RNA", at positions 28 to 507 of the family's 1533-position model. The record is from RNAcentral.